RNAcentral lists this ribosomal RNA (250 nucleotides) under uncultured bacterium. Its description in RNAcentral is "partial 16S ribosomal RNA". It matches the Rfam family "Bacterial small subunit ribosomal RNA", at positions 355 to 597 of the family's 1533-position model. The record is from RNAcentral.
UGGGGAAUUUUGGACAAUGGGGGCAACCCUGAUCCAGCCAUGCCGCGUGAGUGAAGAAGGCCUUCGGGUUGUAAAGCUCUUUCAGACGGAAAGAAAACGCAUCGGUGAAUACCCGAUGUGGAUGACGGUACCGUAAGAAGAAGCACCGGCUAACUACGUGCCAGCAGCCGCGGUAAUACGUAGGGUGCGAGCGUUAAUCGGAAUUACUGGGCGUAAAGCGUGCGCAGGCGGUUAUGUAAGACAGAUGUGA